AGAAAUAGAAUAUGUCCAAGACAAUUUAAAGGCGAAGUACAUGAAGCUUGCUAAAUAUGUGUCUUGCCAAGAAAUAAGACACAACACCAAUGCUCUUAAUGAGCGCAAAGGAACAGCACAAUCUAACAGAACAGUCUGAAAUAGCACAUAAUUCUUUCCUUCAUCUCCCAAAGAAUAAUAAAUGCUUGUAGAAGACUGGAAAACUCCAGGAAAUCAGAAAAUCAAACAGACAGAGAGUAUUCAUAUGGCAUGGACAAAGUGUAUUCAAAGCUCCUAAGGAAAGUGGUUAGUUAUUCUGGUUACUUUAUUUGGAACCUCCUCACAUUUCUAUGGAGGUAGAAGAAUUACUAGAAAGUGAAGAACCGAGUGUCUUGUUGGGUUAGUAUAUUUAACAUGAAGUGGUUUGUUUGUUUGUUUAUUUAUUUAUUUAUCCCUUUAAUUCAGCCUUCGGUAGUGAUUGUCAUUGUUAUGUCACUGAAAAUUAUGUGGAAAAUAUGUUUUUUAUUGUUCGCAAAAACUACUAGGACCAUGUGACAGAAGUUUUGCAAAAUGAAGAGAUCAAAAUUUUCUGAGAUUUCAAAAUUCAAACUGAUACGUACUUGGAACCUACUAGAAUGGAACUACUCCUAAAGUUAUAGAAAAAAAAUAAAGUUUGUUUAUUGAUGGGGCAAUACCCGAAGUAGUCAGAUUAAUGAAAAACAACAAAUUUACAAAUUAUGGAGGAGAAAGAUCAGUACUAAUACCUAAUGAAAUUGGAAUCUUGGUGUACUGACAAAAGGAUCCACCAUUUAGAUAUUUUAAACUUAAUGGACUAAAGUCUCCUAAUCUUGGGGAAAAAUCCUAUUUGGAACAGCUUACAUUAUAUGGCAUUACCUUCAAAACUCUUAGGUCCUUGACUGCGACCUGAAUCAUUAUAGUCAACACCCAGUCAAUUAGAUUGUGAUAUUCAUUUGAGCAAUUACAAUACACAUUUCUAUUCCCUUUUAAUGUAUUAUAUACAUAUCAAUUAUCAGUUACAUACAUUGUAAAAAUGUUCAAGUAUUCUAUAGGAGAAUGUUUUCGCCAUGGAUGUGGAAGAGUAAAGCUCCACUUUACUCUAGAGACACCAUUUUUGUCUCUGUUUAUUCUUUCCUAACCCUCUCAGUGCCUUUCAGCAGUCAUCAUGAUUUUCAUCCUUUUUCUAUUCAGCAAUUUCUAUUCAUUCCAUUGUUUAAUCAUAUCCCAAUGGCCAGCUGAAAAUUCAGUGCAUCUUAAUGUAAUAUUUGCCAUCUGUGUUCAUCCAUAACUCAUUCAUGCAGUGGAAAAUAUAUGCUGAAAGUCAUUCUGAUGACCUACCCUAAAUGCCUCUUAGUUCCAUAGCAAUUGCAUGACAAUGUGCUCUGAAUCUUGUCUGUUCCCCAUAGUAAUUUUAUGACUAACACUGAAAAAAGUAAUGACAAGGGUUUAAAUAAGCAGGUGGAGUUUCUUACUUAAAGGAGUCCUACAGGAUGAUAAGCAUAGGGAGCCCACAUGAAUCCAAGACAAGCAUUGGGAGCCAGCAUGAAUCCAAGAAAGUUAUCUAUUCUUUCCUGGCACAUGAUACAACUGGUACAAUUAAAUGAUACAACUAAAAAGUGAUUUCUUUGAGGAAAACAGAAAUUAGGCAGCAUCUAAAGCACAAAAGUUCAGGGUUCUUAUUCAAAGGCUUUUCAUAUGGAAAAGUCAUUGUUCCCAUUUGAUUCCCAAACAAUGUGAAAAGAG
This is a long non-coding RNA of Protobothrops mucrosquamatus (brown spotted pit viper), 1740 nucleotides long. RefSeq lists it as uncharacterized. The record is from RefSeq and is a predicted model, not a curated record. The transcript has 3 exons. Lineage: Eukaryota; Metazoa; Chordata; Lepidosauria; Squamata; Viperidae.